This 492-nucleotide ribosomal RNA is filed under the name uncultured bacterium. Its description in RNAcentral is "partial 16S ribosomal RNA". It matches the Rfam family "Bacterial small subunit ribosomal RNA", at positions 29 to 507 of the family's 1533-position model. The record is from RNAcentral.
AGUGAACGCUGGCGGUAGGCCUAACACAUGCAAGUCGAACGGCAGCACAGUAAGAGCUUGCUCUUACGGGUGGCGAGUGGCGGACGGGUGAGGAAUACAUCGGAAUCUACUUUUUCGUGGGGGAUAACGUAGGGAAACUUACGCUAAUACCGCAUACGACCUACGGGUGAAAGCAGGGGACCUUCGGACCUUGCGCGAUUGAAUGAGCCGAUGUCGGAUUAGCUAGUUGGCGGGGUAAAGGCCCACCAAGGCGACGAUCCGUAGCUGGUCUGAGAGGAUGAUCAGCCACACUGGAACUGAGACACGGUCCAGACUCCUACGGGUGGCAGCAGUGGGGAAUAUUGGACAAUGGGCGCAAGCCUGAUCCAGCCAUACCGCGUGGGUGAAGAAGGCCUUCGGGUUGUAAAGCCCUUUUGUUGGGAAAGAAAAGCAGCAGGUUAAUACCCCGCUGUUCUGACGGUACCCAAAGAAUAAGCACCGGCUAACUUCGUG